This is a long non-coding RNA of Raphanus sativus (radish), 1086 nucleotides long. RefSeq lists it as uncharacterized. NCBI's taxonomy places the organism in Eukaryota, Viridiplantae, Streptophyta, Magnoliopsida, Brassicales, Brassicaceae. The record is from RefSeq and is a predicted model, not a curated record. The transcript is spliced from 3 exons.
UCUCUCCUUUCUCGUAACUAAACAUUUCCUAACUAAAACAACAAUCUGUCCAAUUGAACACACAUCUUUUUUUUUUUUGAACAACUGAACACACAUCUCUAUGAAAGAAAUAUAUACAAAUAUUUGAAAUCACUUUCAUAUUUUCUCAAACCCUAAUUGCAACGAUCCUUAUUCAUCCUCUACCCCUUAAUCUCGUUCAGCGUCAAGAAACCAUGGCGAAAUUGAAGUCGAAAAAGAAAGGGAAUCUCAAUAGUCAUCCUUCUUCACCGCAAAUUGACAUCAGAGUUAAAUCGAAUCUCUGAGAUCUUGUGGACGGAAGAGAUGACAAUCAGAUCCGAGAGCUCCGGUGUGGAGAGGACGACUUGACGGCGAGCUCUGUUGUGGAGAGGACGACUCUGAGUUCCGGUGUGGAGAGGACGCGACAACGACAAGCUCUCGUGCUGUGAAGAAUCUGAGAUUUAAAAGUUGAACACUUCUUCUUUCUAUCAGAGAUCUGAGAAGUAAAAGGGUUUGGCUUUAACUAAAACACUUUUUUAUUUAUUUAUUUUUGGUCUCCCACAAUAAGUGUUCUGAAUCGAUAUUUUGAUUACAUGACUAGAUGGCUUUUAGGGCCAAACUUGACAUAACCACAGCAUGGAUGAUGCAGAAAAAUAUUUUGACUACAUGACCACAUCAAGAGUGUGUCCACAACAACAACGUCCUCAACAUCAAUCUUGUUCCCACCGAUUAAGAGUCCAUGGAUGAUGCAGCUCAACAACUCCUAUCCAGACUGCAAAGCAUGGUCUAUAUACUUUCAUUUGGUCUUGCAUUUCAUUACUCUAUGUCAUAACUACUAUAGAUAAAACUUGAUAAAAGUAUGGAUGGCAGCGUUUUAGUGUUUUUGGUCAACUUUGUUGUCCAUGUCCACAUAGUUUAUAACUUUGUUGUUGUUUGAUUUUGUAUAUUUCGUCGUCAAUGUAUAUCUGUGUCACCGUAAACAUGGCUGGAUCAAGUUACUGUAAGCUAUGCGUUUUCAUUACUUAAUAAAUUUGUAUGCAAAAUGCGGACAUGGACAUGUACUAAUUUAUUGUGUUUGUGUUUUUUUCA